RNAcentral lists this small RNA (126 nucleotides) under Marmota monax (woodchuck). The record is from RNAcentral. Lineage: Eukaryota; Metazoa; Chordata; Mammalia; Rodentia; Sciuridae.
GCUGGGCAUGGGGCACGCCUGUAAUCCCAGCAGCUCAGGAGGCUGAGGCAGGAGGAUUGUGAGUUCAAAAAUAGCCUCAGCAACAGCAAGGCAAGGCACUAAGCAAGUCUUGAGACCCUGUCUCUA